This 240-nucleotide unclassified non-coding RNA is filed under the name soil metagenome. RNAcentral describes it as "partial contains 5.8S ribosomal RNA, internal transcribed spacer 2, and large subunit ribosomal RNA". The record is from RNAcentral.
AACUGAUACUACCUGCGGGAACCUGCGGAAGGAUCAUUACAUGGCGGAGAAGGUGGGCAACCUGGCCAACAUCCAGGUUGUGAUGCCUUCACGCUCUUCCACCCUUGUCUAUUUGCACCUUCUGUCGUUCCCUCGGCGGGUUUCGACCCGCCGGCGGCAACAUUGAAAAACCCUUUUUGCAGUUAGCAUUCAAUUCUUCUGAUCAAAUAUUAAAUCAUUACAACUUUCAGCAACGGAUCU